GAUGAACGCUGGCGGCGUGCCUAAUACAUGCAAGUCGAGCGAACAGAUGAGGAGCUUGCUCCUCUGACGUUAGCGGCGGACGGGUGAGUAACACGUGGAUAACCUACCUAUAAGACUGGGAUAACUUCGGGAAACCGGAGCUAAUACCGGAUAAUAUAUUGAACCGCAUGGUUCAAUAGUGAAAGACGGUUUUGCUGUCACUUAUAGAUGGAUCCGCGCCGCAUUAGCUAGUUGGUAAGGUAACGGCUUACCAAGGCAACGAUGCGUAGCCGACCUGAGAGGGUGAUCGGCCACACUGGAACUGAGACACGGUCCAGACUCCUACGGGAGGCAGCAGUAGGGAAUCUUCCGCAAUGGGCGAAAGCCUGACGGAGCAACGCCGCGUGAGUGAUGAAGGUCUUCGGAUCGGAAAACUCUGUUAUUAGGGAAGAACAAAUGUGUAAGUAACUAGGCACGUCUUGACGGUACCUAAUCAGAAAGCCACGGCUAACUACG
Molecule: ribosomal RNA, 495 nt
Filed under: uncultured bacterium
Lineage: Bacteria
Description: partial 16S ribosomal RNA
Rfam family: Bacterial small subunit ribosomal RNA
Source: RNAcentral